Mauremys reevesii (Reeves's turtle) is the source of this 379-nucleotide long non-coding RNA. RefSeq lists it as uncharacterized. The transcript is spliced from 4 exons. NCBI's taxonomy places the organism in Eukaryota, Metazoa, Chordata, Testudines, Geoemydidae. The record is from RefSeq and is a predicted model, not a curated record.
UGAAUGUCAAAUGCCAGAACAGACACAAAGCCUGAUUUAUUGGUUAUAUCGCCAUUCCACCAAACACUUGCAGCAAACAACCCCCUACUACAAUACACUCUGCUGCUGGAUCUUGGGAGAGUCAAAUAGAGCAUUAUGAAACAGUCCUGAACGUGAAAUUUGGAACCACCGUAGACUAGCAGGCAGCAAAGGCCCUCGUUUUUGAAGCAGAAGGUCAUGAGUUAUACCCUGCUGCCGCAUGACUGUGAAAUGAGCAAAAAAAGCUUCUGCUGAAGAGUUGCUGCAGUUCCGUCUUAUGCCCACCAGAGGGUGCUGUAGCAUCAGAACACAGCAGCUGUUCCUGCCAGCCCCAGCUAGGAUAGGGAAGAGAAAGAGGCUG